GCUUACAAAAUCACACAAAGAUGGAAGGAGAGGAGGGGUGGGCGUGUAGAGUUUGGGGUGUCCAACUCUUGGAUGCCCCAACCCUCUUUUCUUUUUUAUGACAAGAGAGAAGGGAGGAUGCCUCUUUUUCACAGAAGGAAGAGAGGAGAGGGGCACACAUCUAGUGGGGUGUGGGAUUUCUCAACAUGAAGAGGAAGUGGG
RNAcentral lists this long non-coding RNA (201 nucleotides) under Elaeis guineensis (African oil palm). Its description in RNAcentral is "long non-coding RNA (EGUI_LNC054829)". Lineage: Eukaryota; Viridiplantae; Streptophyta; Magnoliopsida; Arecales; Arecaceae. The record is from RNAcentral.